AACGUAGGAGACAAACGUUAUCCGGAGUUACUGGGCGUAAAGGGCGUGUAGGUGGUAGUGUAAGUCUGGCGUGAAAUUUCUCGGCUUAACCGAGGCAGGUCGUCGGAUACUGCGGAACUUGAGGACGGUAGAGGCGUGUGGAAUUCCGGGUGUAGUGGUGAAAUGCGUAGAGAUCCGGAGGAACACCAGUGGCGAAGGCGACACGCUGGGCCGUACCUGACACUGAUGCGCGACAGCAUGGGGAGCAAACAGG
RNAcentral lists this ribosomal RNA (253 nucleotides) under uncultured bacterium. RNAcentral describes it as "partial 16S ribosomal RNA". It matches the Rfam family "Bacterial small subunit ribosomal RNA", at positions 524 to 776 of the family's 1533-position model. The record is from RNAcentral.